Molecule: long non-coding RNA, 2414 nt
Organism: Fukomys damarensis (Damara mole-rat)
Lineage: Eukaryota; Metazoa; Chordata; Mammalia; Rodentia; Bathyergidae
Source: Ensembl
UGUGUUGUUGGUAGCCCACUUUUAAAAAACAUCUUUGUUAUUUUUGCAGUUACUUUGUGGAUGUGAGUUCAACCAUCAAUGAAAAGUCUGAACCCAGUAAGUAGAGUCCACUCUGAGCAGUAAUGUACAUGCUGAAGUAUCUUUGUACAGAUGACUGAAACAUUAGAGAUAUUUGACAUAAGCUGGUCCUAGCAUUGUCUCCUUUAAGGCUCUAAGUCGGUCAAAUGAAGUUUAUUCCCCUACUGUCAGGAGCAGAAGUUCUCUUUGCUUCUUUUCCAGCUUAUUCCUUUUACCUUUUUUGGCUCCUGGGUCUUCCUUUUAUUUCCUUUUUGCAUGGGAGGUGUUUUUGUAGAGAGUUUUUUUGGGGGGCAGUAUGUGUGCUAGGAAUGGAACUGAGGGCCUUAUGUAUGCAGACAUGUGUUUUGCCAAUGAGCCAUACCCCCAGACCUAGGUACAUGUAAAUUUUACCAGCUAUGAUUUAUGGACUUUGGUUUUGGGGAGUUAAAGACAUGGGCAACCAGAUUUUAUCAUGUUUCAGAUGCUUCCAGAAAGAUUCAUCAGAAGAAACAGAACGGCCCUCUGGUGAUUGAUUCUGAGUCUGAUGAUGAAUGUGUUCAUAAGAAAAAGAAAGCUAAGAUAUACAAAGUAAACAGUGAAGAUGAGAUUUUGGAAGUGAUUUCUGACACUGAUCAGGAGCAGCCCACCACCAGUGCCCCAGUGUCUCCAGGAGUAAUUAUUGAUGAUGAUGAUGAUGAUGAUGAUGAUGAUAUUAUUGUCGAUGAUGAUGACGAUGAUAUUAUUGUUGAUGAUGAUGUUGAUAUUAUUAUUGAUGAUGAUGAUGAUGAUAUUGAUGAUGAUAUUAUUGUUGAUGAUGACGAUGAUAUUAUUGUUGAUGAUGAUGUUGAUAUUAUCAUUGAUGAUGAUGAUGAUAUCAUUGAUGAUGAUGUUAUUGAUGAUGAUGAUGAUGAUAUUAUCAUUGAUGGUGUUGAUGAUGAUGAUGAUGAUGAUGAUGUUAUUGAUGAUGACGACGACGACAACAAUGACAAUGAUGACAAUGGCAACAAUAACAAAUUGGAAAUUCCUGUGCUAAAAGGGGGUUCCCAUGAUCACAGCCAAAUUUAUUCAGAUAAAAAAGAAGUGGAUGAGUGUGUUGUCUCCCAGCACGAUUCACCUGAUAAUGUUCAUAAGAAGCAGGAUCUUGGUGAAAAUGUCAACAAACCACCAACUGAUCCUGAGGCUGACCUAGAAAUUAUAGAUCCAAAGUCGCCAAAUACUGAAGAAGUCAUAUUUGAACCAAGGAAAUGGAAAUGCAAAACCAACAAUACAUCUGGUGUGACACCUGGUAAGCCAGUCAUGCCAAGUGUGCCUGUCUCACCCAAUGUGCCUGACCUACCAAGUGUGCCCACCACACCUUUUCUGCUCAAUAUGCCUGGGUCUUCAGGCUUAUCCAUCCUGUCAGUCCUCAGCCAUUAUAGCAACCUCCUAGUUGCAAAGGGAAGCAGGCAUCCCAAUGAAAAGGAUUUUUCUGGCAAUAGGAAACACCCAUGUCUGUCUAUCUCAUGUUCCCAUAUCUUAGUAUUUACUGUUCUAUGUGUCCCCUCCCCCUCCUUUUUCCCUGCAUCUUUUGUCCUGAGGAUACAGUGGUACCUCAGUUCAUGAACUUAAUUAUUUCCAUGAUUCUGGUCAGAAACCAAAUGUUUAUCUUCCUGUCAAUUGAGUGAUGGAAUGAAUUUUCAGGGUACAAAUUAACUAUUAUCCUUUCAGCUGGUAGUGGACCAAAAAAGCAUGCGUUUUCAGAGAAGAGAUCCAGUGCAGCAAAAGUUGAAAAGUGUGAGACUGGGUAUGUACUGCUCACAUCCAACUGAACAGGAAUUCAUUGCACAUUUGUCAUGUUCAGCUGCCCACUAGGCACUUGGGGGGUGGUCAGUGGGAUAAAGAGGUCUGGUGGGGUGGGGGUGGGGCAAGGUCUGGCCCUGAAUGGAGAGCAGGGUGAGGAAGCCAUUGGUCACUCCCCCCUCAUUCCCCUGGUGGCUGGGCCUAAGUACUCUGCCAAGAACCCUUCAGUUCAUGGGCAGAAUGGGGCCCUUCUGCCCCCACAGCAGCUCUGGCCUCUGAAGUUUCCUUUGUCCUUAAACUCAGGUCAAAAAAAUGAUGUAGCCAAACAUGACUUGUGGUACCAGGUUACACUAAACCAAGGUAAAUACAGGGGAGCUAGUGAGAAGGCAGAGCUGACCCACUAUCUGAUUUGUUGGAAUUGGAGUGAGGGCAGUCAAGAAUGUUUUCUAGGCUUUUCUAGUGCUUUGGAUGAACCCAGUUAUAUUCUUACUGCUACAUAUACCCUUGCUAUUUUUUUGUUUUUGCAGUUCUGUGGAUUGAGUCCAGGUCUUUCCCUCACUCUGUCCCUAUACCCCCAU